AAGAGUAUUGGAUGUAUUUGUUGUUGUUGUUGUUGUUGUUGUUAUAUGGUAUGAAAUAGUGUUGCAUACAUAUGUUUAUUUCUGCCUGAUGCUGCUGCUAAAAGUCAUGUGAUUCUUUGAAAAUGUUCAUCUAACAUGAAGUGAGAAAGGAGGAGUUCACUGGACAUCAACGCUCAAAUCUGAAAUAUGUCGUUUUACUUUUGAGCUUCUUCUGCUCUUAGACCAAAGGCAAUAAUCACAGCUCAGGCUCUCAGGCCUAAGGCAAUAAUCGCAGCUCAGUGCCUUCGGUGUCACACCAGCCUUCCGUAAUAUGCUGAUCUGCAGCUCAAAAACCAGGCUUUCAGGCUGAAGGUAAUAAUCACGUUCCAGGUAAGGAAGAAUAAAACUGUACAAUUAUCUUAUAAAAAUGCCUGUCUGCCUGUCUGCCUAUUUAUCUUGACAGACCUGAUGUGUUAUAGAUGCGGAGAUGUGUUGUGAGCCAGGUUACUGUCAUGGAAAUAUUCAUAUUCCUGUCAUCACAAUCCUCUGUAUAGCCUUACUGCUUUCUAUUGCUGUAAAUGUGUACUUCAUUUGCAUGCAGAUAUUUAGAGAGCAGUGCCAGACCUUUUAUAACAAUUAUAUUGACGUUUGCUUCAGCGGUAACGCAACAAGCGAGCCUGAGGAAUCGGAUACAGAACAGGAUCAAGCUGACAUGCAGUACUCCACAGUUAAUAUUUCCACUAAAAAUGAGGGGUGUGAGGUCCAGUCCAAAGAGAUCGGGGUAGACUGUGUGUAUUCUGCUGUCAAACACUCUGGGAAGGCGUGAUCAGCACUUUUAUAUAAAAUUAAAUUUUAAAAAAAUCCAGCAGCAUAAUGUUUAUUUCACAGCUCGGAGCUGGAUAAAGCUGCAUUUGGCCAUUUUUCACACCCACAGACUAAUAAUAAUGUCUGAUCUUUUCUCCUACAGGUAUGCUGAUAAAAAUGAUUUACUGACAAUGCUGCAAACAGUUUAUAUGAGCUGAAUUUAAACAAAGAAUUAAGUUGAAAAUCACUACAUUUCAUUUGUUUGUUUAAAUUUAGCUUAUAUAAAUUGUUUGCAACAAUUUGCAAUGAAUCAAUUUUUCAGUAUAGGAGAAAUUAUCAGACAUUAUUAUUAGUCUGUGGGUGUGAAAACAUGGUCAAAUGCAACUUUAUCAAGCUCAGUGGCUUCGAGGUGUGAAAUAAACAAUAUCAGAAUCAGAAAGAGCUUUAUUGCCAGGUAUGUUCACGCAUAAGAGGAAUUUGUUUUCGUGACAGAGCUUCUACAGUAUAACAGGAUAACAGAGACAGGACAAAAAACAGAUAAUAAAUAUAUAUUUUUAAAAAUACAAGUAAGUAGUGAAUGCAAAUAUACAAAUUGACAAGUGUAUGUAGGUGUUUAUUACUAUAUACAAUGUUAUAUGUGCAGCUGUUAUGUGCAAAUUGGCAUGUAAAGUGUGUUGUUAAAUAAGUGUAUAUGUGUAUAAAAGUUUCACUAUGAAACCUAACCCUAACCACUUACCUUUAAAAAAAAUUGUAAAUCCAAUGAAUCAUUA
Molecule: long non-coding RNA, 1553 nt
Organism: Danio aesculapii
Lineage: Eukaryota; Metazoa; Chordata; Actinopteri; Cypriniformes; Danionidae
Exons: 8
Source: RefSeq, a predicted model, not a curated record